Molecule: ribosomal RNA, 1540 nt
Filed under: Escherichia coli
Lineage: Bacteria; Pseudomonadati; Pseudomonadota; Gammaproteobacteria; Enterobacterales; Enterobacteriaceae
Description: partial 23S ribosomal RNA
Rfam family: Bacterial large subunit ribosomal RNA
Source: RNAcentral
UCUGGAAAGGCGCGCGAUACAGGGUGACAGCCCCGUACACAAAAAUGCACAUACUGUGAGCUCGAUGAGUAGGGCGGGACACGUGGUAUCCUGUCUGAAUAUGGGGGGACCAUCCUCCAAGGCUAAAUACUCCUGACUGACCGAUAGUGAACCAGUACCGUGAGGGAAAGGCGAAAAGAACCCCGGCGAGGGGAGUGAAAAAGAACCUGAAACCGUGUACGUACAAGCAGUGGGAGCACGCUUAGGCGUGUGACUGCGUACCUUUUGUAUAAUGGGUCAGCGACUUAUAUUCUGUAGCAAGGUUAACCGAAUAGGGGAGCCGAAGGGAAACCGAGUCUUAACUGGGCGUUAAGUUGCAGGGUAUAGACCCGAAACCCGGUGAUCUAGCCAUGGGCAGGUUGAAGGUUGGGUAACACUAACUGGAGGACCGAACCGACUAAUGUUGAAAAAUUAGCGGAUGACUUGUGGCUGGGGGUGAAAGGCCAAUCAAACCGGGAGAUAGCUGGUUCUCCCCGAAAGCUAUUUAGGUAGCGCCUCGUGAAUUCAUCUCCGGGGGUAGAGCACUGUUUCGGCAAGGGGGUCAUCCCGACUUACCAACCCGAUGCAAACUGCGAAUACCGGAGAAUGUUAUCACGGGAGACACACGGCGGGUGCUAACGUCCGUCGUGAAGAGGGAAACAACCCAGACCGCCAGCUAAGGUCCCAAAGUCAUGGUUAAGUGGGAAACGAUGUGGGAAGGCCCAGACAGCCAGGAUGUUGGCUUAGAAGCAGCCAUCAUUUAAAGAAAGCGUAAUAGCUCACUGGUCGAGUCGGCCUGCGCGGAAGAUGUAACGGGGCUAAACCAUGCACCGAAGCUGCGGCAGCGACGCUUAUGCGUUGUUGGGUAGGGGAGCGUUCUGUAAGCCUGUGAAGGUGUACUGUGAGGUAUGCUGGAGGUAUCAGAAGUGCGAAUGCUGACAUAAGUAACGAUAAAGCGGGUGAAAAGCCCGCUCGCCGGAAGACCAAGGGUUCCUGUCCAACGUUAAUCGGGGCAGGGUGAGUCGACCCCUAAGGCGAGGCCGAAAGGCGUAGUCGAUGGGAAACAGGUUAAUAUUCCUGUACUUGGUGUUACUGCGAAGGGGGGACGGAGAAGGCUAUGUUGGCCGGGCGACGGUUGUCCCGGUUUAAGCGUGUAGGCUGGUUUUCCAGGCAAAUCCGGAAAAUCAAGGCUGAGGCGUGAUGACGAGGCACUACGGUGCUGAAGCAACAAAUGCCCUGCUUCCAGGAAAAGCCUCUAAGCAUCAGGUAACAUCAAAUCGUACCCCAAACCGACACAGGUGGUCAGGUAGAGAAUACCAAGGCGCUUGAGAGAACUCGGGUGAAGGAACUAGGCAAAAUGGUGCCGUAACUUCGGGAGAAGGCACGCUGAUAUGUAGGUGAAGUCCCUCGCGGAUGGAGCUGAAAUCAGUCGAAGAUACCAGCUGGCUGCAACUGUUUAUUAAAAACACAGCACUGUGCAAACACGAAAGUGGACGUAUACGGUGUGACGCCUGCCCGGUGC